This is a long non-coding RNA of Etheostoma spectabile (orangethroat darter), 168 nucleotides long. RefSeq lists it as uncharacterized. Lineage: Eukaryota; Metazoa; Chordata; Actinopteri; Perciformes; Percidae. The record is from RefSeq and is a predicted model, not a curated record. The transcript is spliced from 4 exons.
AGUAAUAACUAUUUAAAUGUGCAUAGUGCAGAAUAUUGUCCAGUGAUGGCUUAUUUUACAGAAACAGCUAGCAGUGCUACAUUAUGAUGUUGCAUUAAAGCGUUCGACUGCUGUUGGAAUGAAGGAUCUGCGGUAGUGCUCCUUCUUGCACUGAGGAACACUUAAAAU